UGCCAGCAGCCGCGGUAACACGGGGGGCGCAAGCGUUAUUCGGAAUUAUUGGGCGUAAAGCGCGUGUAGGCGGUUCGUUAAGUCUGAUGUGAAAGCCCGGGGCUCAACCCCGGAAGUGCAUUGGAAACUGGCGAACUUGAGUACGGGAGAGGAAAGUGGAAUUCCGAGUGUAGGGGUGAAAUCCGUAGAUAUUCGGAGGAACAUCGGUGGUGAAAACGGCUCUCUGGCUCGUUACUGACGCUGAGGUGCGAAAGCUAGGGUAGCGAACGGGAUUAGAUA
This 279-nucleotide ribosomal RNA is filed under the name uncultured bacterium. Its description in RNAcentral is "partial 16S ribosomal RNA". It matches the Rfam family "Bacterial small subunit ribosomal RNA", at positions 506 to 784 of the family's 1533-position model. The record is from RNAcentral.